Molecule: long non-coding RNA, 233 nt
Filed under: Mytilus galloprovincialis (Mediterranean mussel)
Lineage: Eukaryota; Metazoa; Mollusca; Bivalvia; Mytilida; Mytilidae
Source: RNAcentral
UGGACAGUCUAUUUUUAUGUGAAAAAGUAUAAUAUUCUUCAAAAAAACUUAUUUCAAAUGUGAAAACUGUAGAUAUAAGCUGUUAAAGGGGAACCACUAAUGAUAUUGUUAUAUAUAAAAAAAAAAGAAGAUGUGGUAUGAUUGCCAAUCAGACAACUGUCCACAAGAGACAAAAAUAUGGGCUUCAACAAUGAGCAAAGCCAAUACUGCAUAGUCAGCUAUAAAAGGCCCCG